UCUCCAGUGGAUUUUCUGGUUUGGGAUUGGCUGCACAAAAUGACCAAAUUAUGGCUUCAGCAAGAAUGACCAGAAUCAAAUCGCCAAUGUAAAACUAUGUAAAGACAUGUGUAUAACUCUGUAACACAGCAUGUCUCCACAAUUACCAAACCGAAUUGGAUGCAGAAGGGAGCUAUGUGAGGCACCUUAGCACAUACCAUCCAGAGUUUACAGUUCACUUCUCCAACAUUUUGACGGGCAAAAUUGAAAAUAGUACUUCUCAAAAGGAU
Molecule: long non-coding RNA, 269 nt
Organism: Rhodamnia argentea
Lineage: Eukaryota; Viridiplantae; Streptophyta; Magnoliopsida; Myrtales; Myrtaceae
Exons: 2
Source: RefSeq, a predicted model, not a curated record